UAAUUUAAUAUAGGAUCUGCUCAAUGAUUUAUUAAAUAGCUGCAGUAUUUUGACUGUGCAAAGGUAGCAUAAUAAUUAGUCUUUUAAUUGAGGACUUGAAUGAAAGAUUUGAUGAGAAAUAAACUUUAUUAUUUAUAUAAUUAAAAUUUUAUUUUUAAGUAAAAAAGCUUAAAUUAUUUAAAGGGACGAUAAGACCCUAUAAAACUUUAUAGAUAUUAAUUUUAGUUUUUUUGGUUAUAUAAAUAUAUUAAUUUUAUUAUUUAUUUUAUUGGGGUGAUAAAAAAAAUUAUAAAACUUUUUUUAAAAUUUAACAUUAGUUAAUGAAUUUUUGAAUUAAAAUUUUUAAUUAAAGGAAAAAGUUACUUUAGGGAUAACAGCGUAAUUAAUUUUUUAAGUUCAAAUUUGAAAAUUAGUUUGCGACCUCGAUGUUGAAUUAAGAUUAAUCUUAGGUGCAAAAUUUUAAGUAUUAGGUCUGUU
Molecule: ribosomal RNA, 477 nt
Filed under: Pleotrichophorus blackmani
Lineage: Eukaryota; Metazoa; Arthropoda; Insecta; Hemiptera; Aphididae
Description: Pleotrichophorus sp. 1 MRM-2021c partial large subunit ribosomal RNA
Source: RNAcentral